Molecule: ribosomal RNA, 1550 nt
Filed under: Klebsiella pneumoniae
Lineage: Bacteria; Pseudomonadati; Pseudomonadota; Gammaproteobacteria; Enterobacterales; Enterobacteriaceae
Description: bacterial SSU rRNA
Rfam family: Bacterial small subunit ribosomal RNA
Source: RNAcentral
AAAUUGAAGAGUUUGAUCAUGGCUCAGAUUGAACGCUGGCGGCAGGCCUAACACAUGCAAGUCGAGCGGUAGCACAGAGAGCUUGCUCUCGGGUGACGAGCGGCGGACGGGUGAGUAAUGUCUGGGAAACUGCCUGAUGGAGGGGGAUAACUACUGGAAACGGUAGCUAAUACCGCAUAACGUCGCAAGACCAAAGUGGGGGACCUUCGGGCCUCAUGCCAUCAGAUGUGCCCAGAUGGGAUUAGCUAGUAGGUGGGGUAACGGCUCACCUAGGCGACGAUCCCUAGCUGGUCUGAGAGGAUGACCAGCCACACUGGAACUGAGACACGGUCCAGACUCCUACGGGAGGCAGCAGUGGGGAAUAUUGCACAAUGGGCGCAAGCCUGAUGCAGCCAUGCCGCGUGUGUGAAGAAGGCCUUCGGGUUGUAAAGCACUUUCAGCGGGGAGGAAGGCGGUGAGGUUAAUAACCUCACCGAUUGACGUUACCCGCAGAAGAAGCACCGGCUAACUCCGUGCCAGCAGCCGCGGUAAUACGGAGGGUGCAAGCGUUAAUCGGAAUUACUGGGCGUAAAGCGCACGCAGGCGGUCUGUCAAGUCGGAUGUGAAAUCCCCGGGCUCAACCUGGGAACUGCAUUCGAAACUGGCAGGCUAGAGUCUUGUAGAGGGGGGUAGAAUUCCAGGUGUAGCGGUGAAAUGCGUAGAGAUCUGGAGGAAUACCGGUGGCGAAGGCGGCCCCCUGGACAAAGACUGACGCUCAGGUGCGAAAGCGUGGGGAGCAAACAGGAUUAGAUACCCUGGUAGUCCACGCCGUAAACGAUGUCGAUUUGGAGGUUGUGCCCUUGAGGCGUGGCUUCCGGAGCUAACGCGUUAAAUCGACCGCCUGGGGAGUACGGCCGCAAGGUUAAAACUCAAAUGAAUUGACGGGGGCCCGCACAAGCGGUGGAGCAUGUGGUUUAAUUCGAUGCAACGCGAAGAACCUUACCUGGUCUUGACAUCCACAGAACUUUCCAGAGAUGGAUUGGUGCCUUCGGGAACUGUGAGACAGGUGCUGCAUGGCUGUCGUCAGCUCGUGUUGUGAAAUGUUGGGUUAAGUCCCGCAACGAGCGCAACCCUUAUCCUUUGUUGCCAGCGGUUAGGCCGGGAACUCAAAGGAGACUGCCAGUGAUAAACUGGAGGAAGGUGGGGAUGACGUCAAGUCAUCAUGGCCCUUACGACCAGGGCUACACACGUGCUACAAUGGCAUAUACAAAGAGAAGCGACCUCGCGAGAGCAAGCGGACCUCAUAAAGUAUGUCGUAGUCCGGAUUGGAGUCUGCAACUCGACUCCAUGAAGUCGGAAUCGCUAGUAAUCGUAGAUCAGAAUGCUACGGUGAAUACGUUCCCGGGCCUUGUACACACCGCCCGUCACACCAUGGGAGUGGGUUGCAAAAGAAGUAGGUAGCUUAACCUUCGGGAGGGCGCUUACCACUUUGUGAUUCAUGACUGGGGUGAAGUCGUAACAAGGUAACCGUAGGGGAACCUGCGGUUGGAUCACCUCCUUACCUUAAAGAA